CCUACGGGUGGCAGCAGUGGGGAAUAUUGCACAAUGGGGGAAACCCUGAUGCAGCGACGCCGCGUGAGUGAAGAAGUAUCUCGGGAUGUAAAGCUUUAUCUGUAGGGAAGCAAAUGACGGUACCUGACUACUAAUCCCCGGCCAACUACGUGCCAGCAGCCGCGGUAAGACGGAGGGGGCAAGGGUUAUCCGGAUUUACUGGGUGUAACGGGGGCGCAGACGGGGAUGUAAGCCAGGAGUGAAAGCCCGGGGCCCAACCCCGGGACUGCUCUUGAAACUGCGGGGCUGGAGUGCAGGAGGGGCAGGCGGAAUUCGUGGUGUAGCGGUGAAAUGCGUAGAUAUCAGGAGGAACACCGAUGGCGAAGGCGGCCUGCUGGACUGCAACUGACGUUGAGGCCCGAAAGCGUGGGGAGCAAACAGGAUUAGAUACCCCGGUAGUC
Molecule: ribosomal RNA, 440 nt
Filed under: uncultured bacterium
Lineage: Bacteria
Description: partial 16S ribosomal RNA
Rfam family: Bacterial small subunit ribosomal RNA
Source: RNAcentral